UGGAACCAACAAUAAGGCAGUUCCGUUACAUGUUCUGUUUCAACAAUUUUGUUCAAGAAUUCAAUGAACAAAAGAAGAACCUGGCUUUGACUCUUGAUCGUUUGCAAAACGCUGUCGAAGUUGCUGAAAGAAAUGCUGAAGAAAUUGAGAAGGAUGUCAACAAAUGGUUGGAAGAUGCAAAAAACGAAAUUGAAGGUGUUAAUCGUUUGGAAAAUGAAAAGGGAAAAAAUAGCAAAUGCUUUAAUUGGUGUCCAAAUUGGAUACCACAAUUCAAGUUAAGCAAGGCCCUGGCAAAAAAGAUAGAGACUUUGAAAAAACUUGAAGAAAAUAGACCAUAGAUAUAGUUACAUGCAUAACUUAUUAGAUUAAUUAUAUUUGUGUCAUUUAUGUAGGUGUUUAACUAAUCAUCAUGAAUUUCUCCUUCGUUUAUCACUACAACAUUUAACAGUUUUAUUGACGGACCAAAUCUGUCGGUGUAAGAUUGCCACUUCAUCAUUAAAUUUUUUACCGACUAAAUUCCCGACGGAAAGCGUCCAUCGACAUAGCAUUCGUCAGUAAUUCGACAUUCUGUCGGUAAAAAAAAAUACAGAUGGUUUUACAGACGGAAAAUGCGUGCCAAAAAAAAAUUCCCACUAAACAUAUACCGACAUAAAUAUUCCAUCGAUGAUCGCGGCAUAUGCAGUAAAUAUUUUUCAACUCUCUGUAAAAUACCGGCGGAAAAAUUCCGUCUGGAAAUCCGUCGGUGGUGUUUUUUUAAAAUUAAAAAAAAAACUCAUUUAUAAUAAAUAAUAUAAAAUUAUAUAAAUUAAUAGUAAAAAAACCAAUUAUGCAAAUAAAAUUGUAUUAAACAUCAAAAAUAGAAAAAUAAAGUUAAAUAAUACUCAUCCAAAUAUUCAUUACAAAUUUAAUGUGUUUCCAAAAAAAUAAAUUAAACUAGAACAAUGGUGGAGCUGGAGGGUGAGGAGGAGGUGGUGGAGGCUGGUCAUUUCCGGGACCAAACAACAAAUAUGUAUCACCCAUAUGUGAUCUAAUGUUCAUGACCAUUUGGCGGAGUUGUUCAUAAUUCACCGACGGUUGCUUGUAUUUUUCGAUGAGAUGAGUCGUGUGUUGCUGCAAGGCCACGAACUCCUUAGAUUGGGUGCUCGAUAUUGAUUAGGAGCUCCCAACGGUUGAGACAUUACGGGUCGCCUGCAAGUUCUCGGCCAUAGUAUUGGAGAGCCCGUACACCCGAUUUUUAUCGAGUCCACCAGACAAUCCUACCUUCAUCCACAAAUCCAGAUCGAAAUUCGGAUGGGACGAAGAAUCGUCCCCAUAUAUCUCCCUCAACCGGCUAUUAUAGGUCUCUUGAAAAUGAAAAUAGAAAUCAUCAUAUUCAAUUCAAGAAAAAUAAUAACUUACGAAAUAAAAUGGUUGAACGAACAUACCACGAAGUGUUGAACGCGGUUGUCAACGAACUGUUGCACCCCUUUUUGGUGGUUUUCACUCUGUACGUGCGUCUCUACAAACAGCUCCAUUGGACUCGGCUCACGUCCAAGAGACGUAGCCUAUAAGAAGAAAAAUUAAUUAAGUAACAACAAAUUUAUUAACGAUAUAUUUCAUUUAAAUUAAUCUUACCAUCCGUUUCGCAUGUGUAGCAAACGGAACGAAGCUAUCGGUGUGCGUGGUCACCGAACCAUGAAUUUGCCGGUUCCGAUUGUCAGCACCAGACUGUGAGCGUCGUGUGAAUUGUUCAAACAUCACGUGCUCAAUAUAUUGCAGCCAUAUAUCCCCCGGGAUGUAUUGCGGUUUGAAAUCCCUCCAAACCACCACGCAUUCCAACCUUGUAGACCGUUAUUUUCUGGCGUAUUUUUUUGCUUUUUUUUGUUCCCUCCAAACCGCCACGUCAUUCCAACCUUGUAGACCGUUAUUUUCUCGCGUAUUUUUUUGCUUUUUUUGGUGCUUCAUACUAAAAAUCACACAACCUACUUCUAUAGUGACAAAUUAGAUUUUAAAACAUAAUUUUUUUUAAAAAAAUAUUGUAUUGUUUUCGAUGUUACCUAGUUGCCACGUGAUUUUCGUACACCCUCCUCGCAACAUUGUCAUGCGCACUAUCCCACUUGAAUUUGUGUUGUGUAUAAAUAAUUUAUUUAAAAUAAAAAUAAUAAUUUAUUUAUAAUUAUAAUAAUAAUUUAUUAAAGAUAAGCUGGAAAUUAGAAAUUAACACCAAUUUGAAAUCUUCGAAAUCAUGCAUCGAUAUAAGGUCUCCAUUCAGGAUGUCUGGAAACCUGACUCCAUUGAAAUAAUAGAAUCUCCAUCGACGAUUUAAACACCAAUGAUAUUAAUCGGGCGACCUCAAAGUUUCUGACCCUGAAAAUAAAUUAAAAAAAUAAAAAUUUGAUUAGUUGUUCAUAAAUUAUGUUAUAAUUAAAAAAAAACUAAAACCAAAAAAAACUUAGAAAUUGUAGAUUUGAAUGUUAACUAACCAAGGAAACUGGUCUUGCUCAAUUUGGAAAUGUAGAACUCCAGUUAUGGGUUACCAACUGAGACUGAGUCGUGAUUGAUUAUGUAGGGCAGUAGGACUAAUUAGUAAAUGAACAAUUUUGACUAUCUUGGAGGCAAAACUGGGUUCUCCUCCCUCAAAGAACUAGUAGCCUCGUGUCUUAACUUUCUAACGAGAUCAAUCUCCGUUAAAAUGGAGUUUUAGAACUUUAGAUAUAGUUAAAAAUCUGAUGAGUGUUCAGACAGUAACAGUUGGAAAUUGGACAGUAACAGAUCAAAGUCAAACAGUAAUAGUUCAAAGUCAGACAGUAACGGUUGGAAAAGUCAAACAGUAACAGUUCAAAGUCAGACAGUAACCGUUGGAAAUUGGACAGUAACAGUUUAAAGUUAGACAGUAACAGUUGGAAAUUAGACAGUAACAGUUGGAAAUUAGACAGUAACAAUAGACUUUCAUGUGAAUACUAUAAAUAAAAAUAUAAAAGAAUUGAGUCAUACGAACACUUAUAUAUUGAGAUAUUAACUCUGAAAAUAUACAUGAUAUAUGUAUGUAUGUUAUUAUGAGGAAAUGAACAUGCAUAGAAAGUAACAUAUGAGUAAUGGAUGAAUAUGAAUUCUCUAUAAUAUCGGCUUGAAAGAAUCAUAACAAAAAAAAAGAAAACUUCCUUGUGAUUCAGGAGGAGCAACCAGGAUUGGAUCUUCUGUUAGGGGAGGUCGUGAGACAGGCGAAGCAGGUGCGUGAUUUUCCCUCCUAUUUACACUUAUACAAUUUAGAAUCCUUCUGGUGAAUGCAAUUAUAAUAAAUAUCGUGUUCAAUAUAAAUAAAUCCUAGUGUAUUUACAAGAUUAGCUUCGGCUAAUGGCAUCCGUGAUAGGAUUGCCAGGAAAAUUUACAUGAUUAGCUUCGGCUAAUGGCAUCCGUGAUAGGAUUGCCGGGAAAAUGAUUCACACGAUUAGCUUCAGCUAAUGGCAUUCGUGAUAGGAUUGCCGAGAUAUGAUUGAUAUGAUUAGCUUCGGCUAAUGGCAUCCGUGAUAGGACUGCCGGGAAAUGAUUUACACAAUUAGCUUCGGCUAAUGGCAUCCGUGAUAGGAUUGCCGGGAAAUGAAUUACAGGAUUAAACCUUACAAGGUCACCCAGUUUAUGCAAGUAAAUAAGAUUAUUCAAUUAAGAAUAUACAAAUGAGUGUUAAUUGGGUUUAAAAGAUUUACAAGCAAAAUAUAAGUUCUUUGUUAGAAUUCUCAUGGAUUUGAUAAAAAGUUAAUACUUCAUUCGUAUUCAUUACAUGAGCAUACAUAUAUUCUUUAUCGACAUAAUGGUAUGUUUAUUUAGGUAACAGGUCCAUCAAACAUUCAGGAAGAUCAUUAGUUAGGACUCAACUUUGUGAAGCUUAUGUAAAUAUUUAACUUAAAACAAAAGGGAAUUAACGUGUUUAUGUAGUAUACUUUUGUGCAAACCUUGAUGUAUUUAUAAAGGUUUAGCUUAGCAUGUAGUAUUUUUAGUUAUCUAGUAAUUAACCAUCUUGAAAUAUUUAAGAACACUUCUUAUAUUGUAAAUACUUUCUUUGCAUGUUAGUAUUCCUUUUCCUUUAAAUUUUAUGAUAUGAUGUGUUGGACUAUGUUCAUAUUGAACUUACUUAUAGGAUAUAUAUAUAUAUUGUGUGGAUUGUAUGAGGUGUGGAAUUAUGAGGUUUGAUAUAAGGUCCGGAAUUAAGGGACUUUGUGAUGAUGGGUUGAUUGAGUAAACUGAUAGUAGUCGAUAACUUGGGAUGUCCUAACUGCAAACGAAACUCUGCCGAUUUUUGGAAAAAAAAAAAUUACCCUCAAAUAAAGAGGAUAUGUUGGAAUCUUUUAACAUUGAUCGAGUCAUACAGUCGGACUAUUACAGAGGAGGUCAUUGCAGACCCCCCUAUUUGUUUGGAUUUUCCGGCGGCGACAUGUUAACCCACUCGCCGCUAGUGGCGUGGCGCGUGGAGGAGACGCGCCGCCACUGUUCCAGCGCCCAGAAACCUUCCGCCACUGUUCCGGCGGAUCUUAGAGGAUGUUCCCAGCAAUUCCUGGAGUUUUGGGGUUUUAUUGUGUAAUUUUUGAAUUGUAUUUGAUUUAUUAUGAGUUUUGUUUUUUUUACAUGUAAAAGAUGGUGUAUGAGAAAAUCAUAAUAAAAAGAGAUGUGUGUGUGUGUUUGUAUUUUUAUUUAUGUUAUUGAAUUGUAAAAAUAAAAAAGAUUAAAAGAAUUAAGUGUUUAAUUUGAUUAUAGUUAAAUAUCUCAAGGACAAAUAAAAUCAUGUUAUAUUUUCCAUGAAAGUGUAAGAACAUGUUUCUACACAUAUUCGAGGAUUUAAUAACUGAUUUAUUAAAACCUUAGAAUUUAAUGAGUAUUUUAAAUUUUCAAAUCACAUCAAAUCGCAAAGCAACUUACCUCAGGUAGGGUGCGCUAGGGGUGCUAAUACCUUCCCUAGCCACAAUCAGUCCCUUACCCUAGAAUUUCUGACAACGACUAGUAAAUCUGGGUUUCCUAGUAACCUUCAAUGAAAUACUAGGUGGCGACUCCAAAGAACCAAUCAAGCAAACAUAACGAAAAAUCGUCGAAUCGUCGCGCGGGGGACGUGCGACAAUCCUAACACCAUUAGUGAAACCUUUUCUCCUUGACAUAAUAAACUUAGCUAAACAUAAUGAAGAAGAGAAACAUAAAUAAACAAGAGAAGAACAUGAUUAUAUAAGUAUAGUAAAGGAAAUGAAAGGUAUAAACAAGAUAUUAAUGAAAGCAAAACUUAAGCAUUUCAAAAAUAUAAAGAAAGAGAGCAAGAACAUGAUCUUGAUCUUGAUUUGAAAACUAAGAUGCCUAAAUACAUGGCAAAUGCCUCCUUUUACAGGCCAAAAUUUAGAAUUAUUGAUUUGAUAACUAAUUGUUAAGUGGGUGGCCACCUCUUGACUUUGUGACAAUUCUUAUCUUCUUGUCUGCCAAAAACGUUAUUGCUAACAUCAGAAUUUGAAUAAAUAGUCUUCAUGAAAGUUUUGGGAAAUUGUCUUAUUUUUCCAACAAAAUAAAAUUGAGGUCAUUUAGACUUCUAGAACUCGAGAUAUGGGCUGAACACUGAAUAGUGUCUAGGCUGCAGGACAGAUUCAGACUUCUCUUUUGAUGCUAAGAUUUGGACUUCCAAACGGCAGAAUAGAGUCUUGGACUCCGCAUGAAUGUUUUAGGCCUAUGUCUUAGCUUUCUAGCCAUAUAAACCAAACUGAAAUCCAAGAUCUACAGCUCCAGAUAUGACCUAAUGACUGAAUAGUGUUCCAGUUUGAAUUAAAUCACCAUCUCUUUUCUAAGCUUAGCCUUUUCUUUAUCCUUUCACUUUCAAUAGUUAAUCACAUCAAUCAAUCAUUUGAAUUGUGAGAUAUGUCUGCAUUUAAAUGAGCAUUUACCAUAAAUUAAAGCUAUCUUAUAGUAUUAGAUAUGUUAUUAUAAAACAUGCUCUAGUUAAGGAGUUAUUGAUACUUCAAGUGCAAAAUGAUGAUAUAAAACCUUGAUAAAAAUGCAGUUUUAAGUACUAAUCACUCCAUGAGUCGAAUAGAAUGGUCAAAUAAGGAAAGCCGUAAAAAGGUGAGAUUGGAUUUGAGCCUUAGUUUGUAAAAACUUGUGUCUUUUGGUUUUAUUAAUAGCAUGUUAUUUUGUUUUGUUAUUUCUUAUAUUUGUUUAAGUGUGUUUCAGGUUUGUCAUUGUUCUUUAUUUCAAGUGAUGUCUUCUAUAUUUUAUCUUUUUACCUUAGGAUAUUAAGGACAAUGUCUCGUUUUGGUUGAGAAGAGAUGGUAGUAGUUGAUAUUAAAAAAAAAUUAACUAUGUUUUCUAUUUCAUAAACCAUUUGCAAACCUGUUGUUACUAGGAUGACAGAGUAAAGAAGUUCUUUUGUUAAAGUGACUAUUGAGACGCAUCUUAGUAAACAUUCUUAAUAAGGUCUAUCAGAAUACUUCUUGAAAUAUUCAGGUUUACAAACUCUCGCAUUGUUGUCACUUGAUUCUGCUCAUAUACUCGUUUACAAGUAUUUUUAAACCUUGAUUUUUACACACACACUUUAACAUUUGAUUGUAGGUUGCAUAUUUGAUUAUUACAUUAUUUAUGUUCUUUUGUUAAAGGUAACAACUAAGGGAAAGAGAUAGUAUAUAAUUUGCAAAAAACAAAAAACCAAAAAAAAACCAAAAAACUAAAAACUAAAAGAAAUUAAUUAUAUUGAUGAUAAUAAAAACGUAGAUAAGUUUGGUUUCGUAGCCUCCCUAACCUAAGCAAUUAAGCCCGAAGGGGUGUUUUAACACCUAAUACCCUAAAGUCAACUGACUUGGGAGCUAUUAGCCCAAUGCUUGUUACAUGGGUUAAGGAGAAAAGCUUAAGAGAAUCAAACAUUGCACUAUCUAUGUAUCAGUAUCUACAACCCGAGUUACUAAGCUCGUAGGGGUGUCUCAACACCUAAUGCCCUAAGACCAACUGGUCUGGGAGUCAUUAGUUGAAAGCUCGUUACAUAGGUUAAAGAUGCAUUGUAUUUUAAGUUAUCUAUAUAUAUAUAUAUAUAUAUAUAUAUAUAUAUAUAUAUUAAAAAAAAGAGAAAAAAAAAAGAUAAUAAUCCCAACCCAAGGAAGUUAACCUUAGAAAAACAUUAGAACAAAAUUGUGUUUUCAUCCAAGCAAAGCCCCAUAACUAUGUGUUGAUAUAUUGAGCACAAAAGGAAGGUUUAUCAAUAUCUUGUUUAAGAAGUAUGGAGUAGAUAUAUAAAUUUAAUAAGAGUUUGUUUAUUUAGAUAGAUUAAUGGAAGUUGAAUGAUGAAUGCCUUGCUUUGUGGAACUUGCAAAUUGUUUUUCUAUUUUAACACUUUGAUUACUAGGGACUAGUAAUAAGCUAGUUGGGGGGUGUGAUUAGUACUUAAAAGUGCAUUUUUAUCAAGGUUUUAUAUCAUCAUUUUGCACUUGAAGUAUCAAUAACUCCUUAACUAAAACAUGUUUUAUAAUAACAAGUCUAAUAAUAUAAGAUACCUUGAAUUUAUGGUAAAUGUUCAUCUUAAAUGCAGGCCUAUCACAUAAAUAAAAAGAUUGAUUGAUGAGUUUAACUACUGAAAUUGAGAAGACAAAGAGAGAGCUAAGCUUAGAAAAGAGAUACUGAUUCAAUUCAAACUGGAAUACUGUUCAGUCAUUGGGUCAUAUCUAGAGCUGUAGAUCUUGGAUUUCAGUUUGGUUUAUAUGGCUAAAAAGCUAAGACAUAGGCCUAAAACAUUUAAGAAGAGUCCAAAACUCAAUUUUGCCGUUUGAAAGUCCAAAUCUUAGCAUCAAAAGAGAAGUCUGAAUCUGUCCUGUAGCCUACACAUUGUUCAGUGUUCAGCCAUAUCUCGAGUUCUAGAAGUCAAAAUACACCGAUUUAUUUUUUCUUGGAAAGCUAGGACAAUUUUCUAGAACUUUCAUGAAGACUAUCUGUUCAAAUUCUGAUGUUAGCAAUGACGUUUUGUUCAGACAAGAAGAUAAGAAUGUAAAUGUAAUUAGAAUAUUUUGCAAUAAAAUAAAUUAUAAUUAAAUCUUUGAAUAAAUUCAUUAAUCAACGUUAAUGUUACUGAAACAACAUUAAAUUAAUCACUGAACAAGUUGAUUAAUUCAAACAACACGCAUUCAAUCAAUAUAAUGGUCUUGAAGAUAAGUGAUUAAUGAACGUUAAACAAUUCAACAAGUUGAGAUUAGAAACAAGUUGAUUCAAACAGCACGCAUUCAAUCACCAUAUCAUGGUGUGUAUCUUGGACAAGCGGAAAGCACUUGUCCCCGUUUUGUCUUUUAAAAACCCUAAUGCUCCUACUUUCGGUGGAGUUUAGCUUCUUUUUUUUUUACUUAACCUUUCUUAUUAAUAUCACAUGCAAAGUUUUUAAAACAACAUUAUUGUACACAUAAGGUGAAAAUGACAGGGAAUUGACCUCUCCUCACUAUUAUUUUCCUGCUUUCGUAAAGUUUUUUAUAGCUCUAUAUUCUAUCUCGUGCUGAGAGUGUUUCCAAAAGCACUGAAACGUGUGGUGCUAAACGACAAGGCAGAAUAAGGUUAAAGGGAUCUAUUUUAAAAUUUUACUCUUAAGGUGUACAGUGGAAAUCGACUCUCCCUUGUUAAUUUCUAAAUUAACCAUCUGAAGAGGUUUUUUUCUUCUUGUAUAUUAUUGUUUUAAUAAAAACAAUAUAAAAGAAGAAAAGGAUAAAAGUAAAACCAGAGAAAGAUUAAGAAUACCAAGAGAGUGUGGGAUUGGUAAUGCAAUAUAAGAUUUUUUUAAAAAAAAAUUAUUUUUUUGUUAAAAAUAUAUUUAAAUAAUUUUUUUAAUAUUUUACAUCAUAUAUUAGAAUGAUAAAAAAAAAAACACCAUGUAAACUAUUAUCAUUAUAUUUGUUUAUCAUUAUCUUUAUAUUGUAUUAUGCAUGCUAUCUUAAUUAUGUCAUCAAAUUGCAUUUUUUUUAUGGGAAUUGCUGCUCUAACUCGGAAGUUAGAAUCCAUGUAAACUAUUUUGUUUUAAUACUUCUCCUCUUUUCAACAUAAAGUCGUUCUUUUAUAAAUAUAUUCAUUAGAUUGAUGAUAUGCUAUCUUUUCUUUUUAUUGGUUUUGAGAAAGAAAAAAAAAAGUAUUUCUAUCCUUUUAUGGAAAAGCACAGAGAUCUAAGAACUAUUGUGUAAAUAACUGUUAGGGUAAGUGUGAAUUUUAACACAUGGCAUGGAUAGCUAUUGAUGAGGGGAGAAAGGGAUUACAAGUCUGGUUUGGAUAUAAAUUAUACAAAAUCUGACCAUAGUUUCCAUUGCCAUCUCUGUUGAAUAUUCUUGGCACAAACAGCUCAUUUCAAACCAGUUGUCCCUGUUUUGUAUUUUAAAAACUCUAAUUAAAUAUUAAAUUAACACACAAAAAAAAAAAAAACUAAAUGAGAAGGGUUUUUUUUAUUAUACCCUUCCUCACAAACACAACCUUCAACUCUACUAUAGUUGAUGUGAUGGGUCAAUUAUUUCUAACUACGGCAUAACAUUAUACUUCAUGUUUUAAUAUUAUAUUAGUAAUAACAACUCCUUUUAAUUUAUUAGUUCAGAUAUAUAUUUACUUUGUUUUAUAAAAUAUAAAUAGUAUAUUUUCAUGUCUCAAUUAAAAAAAACAUUAAUUAUUGGACUUCAUAAUUUAUUUUGGUGUGUUUUUCAUAAAGUUAUUGUGGUCUUAAACAAACAUCUCGAUAUUUGUUUGAGCGUUAAUUUUUUAAUCAUAUCAUUAAAUAAAAAUAUUUUUUAAAACAAUUACUAAAUUUAGUGAAGUCUAUAACUCGAAUCACGAAUUUAACGGGUUAAAAUUAUUGUUGGAAAAGCUAAUAUUAAAAUUAUUAUUUUAGUAUUAUCAUCAAAUAAUUUUUUUAUAUUUUAAAAAAUUUAUUUAACUCGGCGGAGUAUAGUUAAAUGGAAUGGUAUAAUUUAGAUCUUGAGACACUAACGUCAGCUGAACUACUUCUAGUUUGGAUCUUGAGACACUAACGUUAGCUAAACUUAUUUCCAGUUUGAGAGUAUGGUUGUGGUUGCUUUUUAAAGUGUUUUUCAUGUUGAAAUGCAUCAAAAUGAUAUUUUUUUUAUUUUUAAAAAAUUAGUUUUAAGAUCGGUGCAUCAAAACGAUCCAAAACAUAAAAAAUAUAUUAAUUUUUAACCAAAAAACAAUUUAAAUUUUUUAAAAACACGAAUUGAUCCACGUUUCCAAACUCUCUGGAUUGAUAUGCUUUAAAUGAGCAAUUAAAAUAUCAAAGGAUUUCCGGGACACUCCCAAGACGUUUAAUGGUAUAUUUAAUGUUUGUCCCUAUUGAGAUUACGACAAGACCAAAUAGAAAAGUACUAGUUACAUGCCCCGCGCGAUGUUGCGGGUCAAUUAUUUUUUGCAUUUCAAAAAAAGUUAAGAUCUAAAAGUGUUAGAUUUUUUUGCAAAGUUAUACCCAAGAGUCUUAGGUUUGGUUGCAACGCCUGAUCCAAGAGUAAUAUUUAUAAAAGUGUUAGGUUUUUUUGCAAAGUUAUACCUAAGAGUCUUAGGUUUGGUUGCAACGUCUGACCCAAGAGUAAUAUUUAUAAUUUUAAUAAUAACAUUAAACUUGCAUGACCCAAAUUUAAGUGGGUUUGACUGCAAUACCAGACCCAAUAGCAUUGGACGUGGGUCUGGCUGCAAAGUCGUGUCAUAAAAGUGUGAUAAUUAAAUAGAUUAGUUAAAAAGAAAAAAAACAACAGGAAGAAAAAAACUAAUGAAGAAAAAGAAAAAAUAUAUGAAUUAAUUGGGUUAACCCUUCAAACCAGGUUAACCCGUCAUACCUUGAAUUCGCAUCGUGAAAGUUUGAUAAUUAAAAAGGAAAAAAAAAUUAAUGGGUUAACCAAGAAUUAACUCGGCUAACUCGUCAAACCAGGUUAACCCGUCAAACUCAGAAUCCGUGUCAUGAAAGUUUGAUAACUAAAUAGAAAAAAAAAAUUAACAUUAACAAUUUAAAUUAAACAAAAAAAUUAAUUAAAAAAAAAAGCAUUAGCCUUUUCACUGUGGACUGCAUUGUCCAGUCCACAGUCAAAGGCAUAAAAACAACAAAAAAAGAAAAAGAAAAACUAAAGGCAUCAGCCGAUAACUACUUAGAAAAAAAUUUAAUAUUAAUAAACUAAAUUAAUUAAAUAAAAUUAAUUAAAAAUAAAAAAGAAAAGAAAAAAACUCUAAAAACAAAAAAAAAACUAAAUAGAAAGAAAUUUAACAUUAACAACUAAACUAAACGAAAAAAAUAAUUAAAAAGAAAAAAAAAAGCAAAAAAAAAUAUUCCAGGUUAACUCGUCAAACCAGGUUAACCCGUUAAACCCAGGAUUUGUGUCAUGAAUGUCUGGUAACUAAAUAAAAAAAAAAAGUGAACAUUAACAAACUGAACUAAACGAAAAAAAUUAAUUAAAAAGAAAAAAAUAAAAAAGAAAUGUUGGUUAACUCGUCAAACCAUGUUACCCCUUAAACCCAGGAUCUGUGUCAUGAAAGUCUGAUAACUAAAUAAAAAAAAUUAUGAAAAUAAAAAAACAAAAAACAAUUGACGGGUCAACCCAGAAUUAACUGGGUUCGCCCGUGAAACCAGGUUAACCCGUGAAACUCGGGAUAUGUGUCAUGAAAGUGCAAAAAAAAAAAUUCUAGGUUAACUUAUCAAAUCAGGUUAACCCGUUAAAUUCAGAAAACGUGUCAUGAAAGUCUGAUAACUAAAUAAAAAAAAUUUAACAUUAAUAAACUAAAUUAAACAAAAAAUUUUGUUAGAAGAAAAAAAACAAAGAAAGAAGCUAAAAAAUAAUCCCAAAAGGCAUAAAAAAACAGCUAAAAAAACAAUUUAAAAAAAAAACCUAAAGCAUCAGUGUUUUAGUGUGGACUGCAUUGUGCUGUCCACGGUAAAACACUGAUUCGUUUUAGUAUAUGUUACAAUUUAUAAAAUAUUUUAGUUUUUAAGUUUGAUUUUAUUCCUUUUUAUUUUCGGUUGGGAUCAUAUUAAACCAAUCAAAUUUUGUUUUUCAAAUUUUUCAUAUUAAAAUUAUCUAAUAAACUCAAAAUAAAUCAAACUAUCAAAAGAUGAGCUUACUUUCUCUUUUUUUCUUGUCUCGCACUUGUCUCUGUUUUCUCUUUUAAAAACCUUUGUUAUUUAAUAUCACAUGCAAGGUUUUUAAAACGAACAUUAUUGUACACAUAAGGUGAAAAUGACAGGGAAUUGACCUCUCCUCACUAUUAUUUUCCUGCUUUCGUAAAGUUUUUUAUAGCUCUAUAUUCUAUCUCGUGCUGAGAGUGUUUCCAAAAGCACUGAAACGUGUGGUGCUAAACGACAAGGCAGAAUAAGGUUAAAGGGAUCUAUUUUAAAAUUUUACUCUUAAGGUGUACAGUGGAAAUCGACUCUCCCUUGUUAAUUUCUAAAUUAACCAUCUGAAGAGGUUUUUUUCUUCUUGUAUAUUAUUGUUUUAAUAAAAACAAUAUAAAAGAAGAAAAGGAUAAAAGUAAAACCAGAGAAAGAUUAAGAAUACCAAGAGAGUGUGGGAUUGGUAAUGCAAUAUAAGAUUUUUUAAAAAAAAAAUUAUUUUUUUGUUAAAAAUAUAUUUAAAUAAUUUUGCAAACUAACUUCAUCAAGUUUUAAAAAGAAAAGGCAAAGAAAAACCAGCGAAUUGACCAUAUCAAAUAAAGUCGCGUACGAGAGAACCUUUAUUAUUAAUAUCACAUGCAAAGUUUUUAAAACAACAUUAUUGUACUCUUAAGGUGAAAAUGACAGGGAAUUGACCUCUCCUCACUAUUAUUUUCCUGCUUUCGUAAAGUUUUUUUUAGCUCUAUAUUCUAUCUCGUGCUGGGAGUGUUUCCAAAAGCACUGAAAUGUGUGGUGCUAAAAGACAAGGCAGAAUAAGGUUAAAGGGACCUAUUUAAAAAUUUUACUCUUAAGGUGUACAGUGGAAAUCGACUCUCCCUUGUUAAUUUCUAAAAUUAACCAUCUGAAGAGGUUUUUUUCUUCUUGUAUAUUAUUGUUUUAAUAAAAAUAAUACAAAAGAAGAAACGGAUAAAAGUAAAACCAGAGAAAGAUUAAGAAUACCAAGAGAGUGUGGGAUUGGUAAUGUAAUAUAAGAUGUUUUUUAAAAUUAUUUUUUUGUUUAAGAAUAUAUUUAAAUAGUUUUUUUAAUAUUUUACAUCAUAUAUUAGAAUCAUAAAAAAAAAUCACUAUGUAAACUAUUAUCAUUAUAUUUGUUUAUCAUUAUUUUUAUAUUAUAUUAUGCGCGUGCUAUCUUAAUUAUGUCAUCAAAUUGCAUUUUUUUUUAUGAGAAUUGCUGCUCUGACUCGUAAGUUAGAAUCCAUGUAAACUAUUUUGUUUUAACACUUCUCCUCUUUUCAACAUAAAGUCCUUUUUAUAAAUAUAUUCAUUAGAUUUGCCAUCUCUGUUGAAUAUUCUUGGCACAAACAGCUCAUAGCUAAGGGAAGCUCGGAUUUCAAACCAGUUUCCAUCCCAUUUUAUAGACCGAAUUCUUACAAUAUCUUCUUCAUCGAUCGAUAAACCGAUUCUGGAGGACCACAAUAUGAUGGUGUAUCUUAGAGCACCACAUCAAAAGAUAAGAAAUUCCUCGAAGAUCACCAUAAUAUCAUGGUGUGUAUCUUAGACAAGCGAAAAGCACUUGUCCCCGUUUUGCCUUUUAAACCUUCAAAGAUUUGUGUCCAGGGGGGCAUCAAGUUUUAAAAAGAAAAGGCAAAGAAAAACUGGCCCGACCACCAUUUCAAAAGAUAAGCUUACUUUCUUUCUUUUUCCCAUCUCUCACUUGUCCUUGUUUUGUAUUUUAAAAACUCUAAUUAAAUAUUAAAUUAACCAAAAAAAACUAAAUGAGAAGGGUUUUUUUAAUUAUACCCUUCCUCACAAAACACAACCUUCAACUCUAGUACUAUAGUUGAUGUGGUGGGUCAAUUAUUUCUAACCAAGGCAUAACAUUAUCAAAAUAAAUUAAUAAACCGUGAGGUGGUGAGGUGAUUUUAUGAUGGCACCAUUCACUAUGAAUCCUCUUACAUUUUAUUAUGAACGGUAGUAGUGAUUUUUUUCUUUUAAUGCUCAAACAUUUUUUUUCUUCUUAAUUUUAUUAUUUUGUGGUCAAAUUGAUGGCCAAUUGUUUUUGAUUUGUUAUGAAAGGGUAAGAUUAAAAGAUAGGGGACCAAAGAGAAAAGAACAAAAAAAAUAGGUGGCAGUUUCAAAAUUAACAUAAAAAGUUCACUUUGUUUGAAUUAACAUAAAAUAGGUGGCAGCUAUAUCUGCUGACUAGUUAUUCAUGGUGAAGUGAUAAUCUCUUCUUUUGUUCUACUGAAAUUCUUGAUGUUUAGGCUGGGAAUAAAUUUAGCUCCUCUUGUUUACCUAGAAAACUGAGGGAAAGUAGCUGAAAUAAUUUGAAACCAUUUAAGAUUUUUGUCAGUUUAGUUUAUUCGUUCACUUUCCUGUAGUUUCUGAGAUAGUACCAAACACAUUGUUAUGUGUUGAAUAAAUAAUUAACCACCGAUUAAAGCAGAAGGAACAUUUGUGUUUGAAUCCUGAGAAAAUUGAGUCGGAAAAUAAAGGGAAAUUUUUGCAUUUUAUGAAGUUUUUUUUCUUAGUUAUGAUGAUUUAUUUUUUUGGAGGCCCCUAAAAGUGGAAUAAUGGUCCCAAAAUUUACAAUGUUUUCCUGCAAUCAAACAGUGCUUUGGAAGAUAAUUGUUAGAAGAUAAAAUAAUUUGUUUUUUUAUUAAUGUAAAUCUGCUUUUCUCUAUAUCACAAUACUUUUAACGAAGUUUUUUGUUUUUUUGUUUAAGCCUUUUUUUUUUUAAUAUUUCAAUCUCUAAUAUUCUUUUGUACUUUCUUUCUAUGGGAUUUAUCUUUCUUUUUUAAAUAAUAAGGAUUGCCUCAAAGUUUUUUUUUUCUGUCUUUGUUAAAUUUUGCUUCUUUAAAAGGGAUUUUUUUUAAUUAAAUUAAUUUUUUUGAUUUCAUUCUCUUGCAUUUAAUUUGAGGCAAUACCUGAAAGAAUUUUGUUUCUCUAAUUAAUUUUUUUAAAAAAAUUAUAUUCUUUGUUUUUUUAUUUUUUUCUAUAGAGUUAUCCUGAUAUUAUAUCUUGGGUCAUAGAUUCAAUAGGUUUACCAAGGUUGAUUUAAGUUUUUUUUUUAAUUUCUUUUUAAUAUUUUUUUAUCUCAAGUCAAUGACUAAAAUCUUAAAUUUCAAAAAAUUGCAUUGUCAAUAGUGUUUUUUUUUACUUGGUUUUUUUUAAUCUAUAUUUUUUUUUUUAAUUUCAAACUUCAACAUUUAGUUUAUUGAAGACUGGGCUUCAUAAUUUAUUAUUGCUUGCUUUAUAUAUUGUUAGCUCAAUCUCUUUACACUAUAAACUAAAAGAGGUGAUAGAUUUACUAUUCACCACCUCACAAGACACAAUUCAUUUCAAUAGUUUUUUUUUAAAAAAAUCUAUAUUUCUUUAUUCCUUGAUUUCAUACUUCAACAUUUAGUUUAUUAUAGACUAGGCUUAAUAAUUUAUCAUGGUUUGUCUUAGUCUCAUAACUCGUAUUACGGGUUUAAUUGGUUAACUCAGUUUUUUUGUCUUUUUUAAUUGCUAUUUUUUCAAUUUCACCAUUCAACAUUGGAUUGAUUAUGAAUUAGACUUCAUUAUUUAUUUUGGUUUACUUUUUAUGAGGUUAUCUUGGUUUUAUGACUUAGGUUACGUGUUUUGUGAGUUAAGCCGUGUAGACUUGGGUCGUUUUAUUGUAUAAUGUUUUUAGAUUGAUUUUUUUUUAUUUCAACCUUUAACAAUAAAUUUAUUGAAAAUUGAGUUUCAUAAUUUAUUUUGAUUAACUUUCUACAGAAUUAUCAUAAUUUCAUGACCUUGGUCGCGGGUUUGGCAGGUUAACUUAGGUUGACUCAAGCUAUUUUUUGUUUACUUUUUAUGAGGUUAUCUGAGUUUCAUUACCCAGAUCAUAGGUUUGACGAAUUAACCUGAGUUGAAUAUGAUCCUUUUUUUUAAUUUUAUCCUUCAACAUUGAGUUUGCUUAUCCCGGGUCACGAGUUAACUCAGCUUUGUUUUGUCCAUUUUUUAGUUGGUUUUUUUUUUUCUCAAUUUCAUCCUUCAAUAUUUGGUUGGUUUGAAAUUAGACUUCAUAUUUUAUCUUAUUUUAUUUCUUUCUAUGAGAUUAUUCUAGUCUCAUUACUUGGGUCACGGGUUUGCUAAGUUAACUUGGGUUGUCGCAGGUCUUUUUUUUUUUAUCUUUUUUUAAUUAAUAUUUUUUUUCAAUUUCAUCCUUCAAUAUUUGAUUAAUUAGGGAUUAAGUUUCAUAAUUUGUUUUGAUUGCUUUUUAUGGGGUUAUAUUAGUCAUAUAACCCGGGUUGCAGUUUUGACAAGUGAACCCUAGGUGACUCGAGUUCUUUGUUUUUUUUUCUCUUUUUUAAUUGUUUUUUUUUUCAAUUUCAUCUUUCAAUAUUGGUUUAAUUGGGAAUUGGGUUUCAUAUUUGGUUUUUUUUUCAAUUUUGUUUUUAUUAGAAAGCACACUUAACAAAUAAUAAUUUAGUCUUGAUAAAACUAAUGAAUCAUUCCAUAGUUUCAAUAACAAUAUGUUUAAUUCUUAUAUUUUUAGUUAUAUAUAGUUUAGUACUAUCAAUUUCAAGUUCUUUCCCAUGUAUUUUUUCUUCUUCCUUCUUGAAAAAUAGAAAAGGAAAAGAGAAGCAGGCAGUUGGGGAAAUUUCAUUAGGAAGGAAGGUAUUUUAUAUAUAUAGUAAAUUGAGGGUGGUUAACACUAGUUAAUGGGAUGUUUCAUUAUUUAUGAUACUACAAGGACUAGAUAAUUAAUUUUAAUAAAUUACAGCGCUAAUUAGUUAUAAUUAAAUCUUCAUUGACAAAUAGGAUUUUAUUAUUUGUUUUUUGAAGGAGAAUAUGUACAUGCAACAAUCUUUACUGUUCCUUCAUUUAGGAAUAUAGAAUUCAAAUAUGGUUUUAAGAGUAUAUAUUUAUAGGGUACAAAUCUGUUUGUAUAAGCAAUAUUUUCAUAAAUUUAUCAAUUCUGCAGCUGGAAAAAAGAAAUAGACUCAAUAUUCCACCUGAGAAAACCGAUAAAAUGAAAGAAAAGAGAAUUCUUUCUUUAUCCAUUAGACCACAAAAAUUUACAUAUAACACAAUUUUAGUUAGAGCACUACAACUCAACUGUUAUAUUAUCUUAAUUAACAAAAAAUUCCAUCAUAUAAUAAGCUAUAGACUUAGCUGGGUUUUAAAAAACUCCUCUUUUACGUUUCUAUGUUUUCAUGAACAUUGAAAAAGGAGCCAUGGUUGACUUUCUAUCUGUUUCUUUCUUUUCUUGGAGGAGAAAGAGAGGAUUGCGCUACUUGUUUCUUUUCAUUUUCUUGAAAACCAAAUAGAAAGUUCUUGGUUGAUUUCUAGCCAAUAGUCUUUUUUCUCUUAUUAACUCGGUUUCUUUGGGUGCUGAUCGACUAGUUAUUUUUGUGAAGUAAUAAUCUAUUCUUUUAUUCUACUUAAAUUCUUGAUGUUUUUGGCAGGGAAUAAAUUUAGCUACUCUUAUUUACCAAGAAAAUUGAGGGAAAGUAAAAAAAAUAAUUUAAAACCAUUUAAGAUUUUUGUCAGAUUAGUUUAGUCUUUCCUGAAGUUUUUAAGGUCAAGGGAGUAGCCAAUCAAAAAGGAAGGAUUGCAAUGAAAAAUUCGGUACAGCUCUUUCAUUUCGCACUUGAGAGACAAUCUAUUGGUUGUAAUGAGGAGAUAUGGUUGAACAAGUGGCUACGAUCUAUUGGCUCAUCGGACUACCUUAUCUCCAAGUCACAGAUCCUUUCUCUUAAUUGGUUUUUUUUUUAAUUUGAAACUGUAAUUUGUUUCAAAGCUACAAAUACCUGGAUUUUUUUCUUCCUUUUCUUUCUUAUUUUCUUUCUUUCUUUUCUUUCCAUGGAGAAAGAGGAUUGUGCUACUUUUAUUUUCUUCAUUUUCAAAGCUACAAAUCAUGUUUGAGAGAAAGAAACAAGGUUUGUAAUAAAAUUACGUAGACUUACAUUUAUUAUAUACUAAGGAAAAAAAAUAUAUUUUUGUCUAAUUUGCUUUUUCCUGUUGAACAAGGAGGCAGAUCAUAAUUUCCCAAACUAUAGAUUGAAAAAAAAAAAAAAAAACAGACGAAAAGUAUAGGAGAUUUUUUUUUAUUAUACCUAAAAGUUAUUAAGGAAAGAAUAAAAAUUCAACAAUAGUGUACCAAAGUAUAAAAUAAAAAGAAAUCCAAUAAUCAAUCUUAAAUUUGUUAAAAAAUGUUAUGUUUAGUUCACGUAUUUUUUUUUAUUCUACAGUUCCUUUAGUUUUUACAAUUUUAAUUUUAGUUCAAAAUUUUAUUUUUUUAACAUUUUAAAUCCUUGAGUUUAAAAAAUAAGAGAGAAAGUCGUUUGAAAACAAUGAAAAAAAAGGUGAAGUUUGUGAAUAAGAACUUUUUCAAAAUAAAACUCAUCGUUUUUUGUAUCAACGAGUUUUAUUAUACGAGAGAAGCUUGAUAGUGGUAGUUUAUUUCUAUAAACAAGCCUGAAAAAUAUAUUGAGUUUCAUUUAGAUUUUUUUAUUUGGUUUUUUUUUUAUUUUUUGAAUGAUUUUGGGAUUUUAUUUUUAAUAUAUAAAAUCCCAUUAUUUCCUUGCUUUCGUCAGGACCGCUGAAAUAAGGUAAAGUUUUUUUUAGCAAGAACAUGAUUUUAUGGCCUCAAUCAGAGAGGUAAUGUGUGGUGCUAAAAGACAAGGCAGAAUAAGGUGUAUAGUGGAAAUAGACUCUCCCUAGUCCCUAGUUAAUUUCUAUAUUUCCAUCAAACCUAUUUUAGGGUUUGAACUUGAACCAUCUGAAGAGGUUUUUUUUUCUUGUAUAUUAUUGCUUUAAUAAAGAUAACAAAAAAGAAAAGAAAAGGAUAAAAGUAAAACCAGAGAAAGAUUAAGAAUGCCAAAUGAGUGUGGGAUUGAUAUUGUAAUAUAAGAUGUUUUUUUAAAAAUAUUAAUUUAAAAUAAAUAAAUAAAUAAAUAAAAUUUAAUUUUUUAAAAAAAUACUUGUAAAAUAUCUAAGUAAUCAUUCAAAUUAUUUUAUUUUCUUAAAAGAAAAAAAAAGUCGCGUACGAGAGAACCUUUGUUAUUAAUAUCACGUGCAAACUUCUUAAAACAUUAUUGAAAUCAUUAUAUAUUGACCAUUAUAUUAUUGUCCUCGUGAAAAUGACAUCUUCUCACCAUUAUUAGAAGAACAGGAGAGUGUUUUGAAAAGCGGGGACAGAGUGAGAAACAAGAACAUGAUUUUAAGGCACGUGGUCAGUUAUUGAUAUAUUAAAAUCAUAAAAAAAAUAUUAAUUUAAUAUAUUUUCAAACAAAACUCAUUCAAAUUCAAUUAAAAAAACAUUAGAAAAAAAAAAUGUAAGGAGGAGAUAAGGUUGAACAAGUGACGAUAAUCUAUUGAAUUCUCGGAUUACCUUAUUUUCAUGUCACAGGUCCUUUCUCUUAAUUGUUUUCUAAAUUUGAAACUGUAAUUUGUAAUUGUAAUAUGCGAGGGUAAUCACAGCAACUCAAGAGAAAAACAACACCCUAUUAAAUCAAAUUAAAAAAAAAAAACAAUUUGAAACAUCGAAGGGUGAAAUAGAAAAAAUAAAAGGACUGAAAUGAAAUAAAACCUUGGUGGAUGCUAUCAAUAGCCUUGUUCUUUUAGCUUUCUGUAUGAUGUAAUGGGCAGGUCUUAUUACUUGAGUGUGUGAUGCAAGAGAUAGUCAUUGCAGAUUUUAGUUGCCUAAGUUUGAUCCUUUGUGGAGUUCCUUGUAAGUCUCUUUUUUUUUCUCUCCUUAUUCAUAAUUUUCGAGAAAAAAAAACAUUUACCGAUCAUAGCUUUAGAUUAAUGUGUUAUUGGAAGCAAAGAGGAGCUAGUAUCAUGCGUGCAGGUGUCAAAGUGAUCUUCAUCAGCCUUCCAUUCCUUUCUCUCUUUGCUAGGUGAGUACUUGUACAUAUUAUUCUUUUAUUUGUUUGUCAUUAUCUUUAUAUUAUGCUUUUUAUCUUAAUUAUGUCAUAAAUUUGCAUUUUUGUGGGAAUUGCUGCUUUAAACUCUUAAGUGUAAACUAUUUUGUUUCAAUGUAUUCUUUAGAUCGGUGGUAUGCUAUCUUUCACUAAUGAAAUUCUGUUUAUUGGUUUUGAGAAGGAAAAAAAAAAGUAUUUCUAUCUUUGUUUUAUGGAAAAAGCACAUAGAUCUAUGAAAUAGAUAUAUAUUAAAAAAAAGGAUAGAUUAGAUAUUCCCAUUACUCAUGGCAUAGAUAGAGAUAGUCAUUACAGAUUUUAGUUGCCUAAGAUUGAUCCUUUGUUGAGUUCGUUCCUUGCAAGUCUUUUUUUCUCCUCAUGCAGACUAUCUUAAUUAUGUCAUCAAAUUGCAUUUUUUUUAUGGGAAUUGCUGCUCUAACUCGCAAGUUAGAAUCCAUGUAUACUAUUUUGUUUUAAUACUUCUCCUCUUUUCAACAUAAAGUCCUUCUUUUAUAAAUAUAUUCAUUAGAUUGAUGAUAUGCUAUCUUUUCUUUUUAUUUGUUUUGAGAAAGAAAAAAAAAAGUAUUUCUAUCUUUUUUAUGGAAAAGCACAGAGAUCUAAGAACUAUUGUGUAAAUAAUUGUUAGGGUAAGUGUGAAUUUUAACACGUGGCAUGGAUAGCUAUUGAUGAGGGGACAAAGGGAUUACAAUGAUCUAUGAACUAUUGUGUAAAUAAUUGUUAUGUUAGGACAAGGAAUUAAAUGUUUAUCGUUCUGCUUAUACCUUGCCUUGUUGCUCUUGAAGCUGGCUUCCAUACAGAGCUAAAGGCCUUCUCCUUUUGUUCCUCUCGCUAUAUUUUAUUAUUGAGCAGUCAGUACCAGUGCUUUCCGCAUAUAUUUUCACAAAUUAAGGUAAUAAAAUUACUAUUCUUAUUCUCUCAAUGCCUAUUUUACUUGUAAUGACUCACUCUCACGUUCUGUAUCCUUAUUUCUUUGUUUUUCAGACCGGUGGAAAAUGGCUAUCGAAAGUGUUGGUGGAUCCGUUGUAUCCAAGAUAGCAGAGCUCUUGGUGGAACCAGCAAUAAGGCAGUUCCGUUACAUGUUCUGUUUCAACAAUUUUGUUCAAGAAUUCAAUGAACACAAGAAGAACCUGGCUUUGACACUAGAUCGUCUACAAAAUGAUGUCCGAGAUGCUGAAAGGAAUGCUGAAGAAAUUUACAAAUAUGUCAGUAAAUGGCUGGAAGAUGCAAACAACGAAAUUGAAGGUGUGAAUCCUUUGGAAAAUGAAAUAGAAAAAAA
This 21242-nucleotide long non-coding RNA is filed under the name Populus trichocarpa (black cottonwood). Its description in RNAcentral is "long non-coding RNA (PTRI_LNC000484)". The stretch from base 5539 to 5694 matches the Rfam family "MIR2912 microRNA precursor family". The record is from RNAcentral. Lineage: Eukaryota; Viridiplantae; Streptophyta; Magnoliopsida; Malpighiales; Salicaceae.